CAACUGGUCUCUUUAGAGACCACCCUUCUGAACGAAGAAAUUAUCA
Molecule: non-coding RNA, 46 nt
Organism: Sphaeroforma arctica JP610
Lineage: Eukaryota; Ichthyosporea; Ichthyophonida
Source: Rfam